Molecule: long non-coding RNA, 968 nt
Filed under: Patiria miniata (bat star)
Lineage: Eukaryota; Metazoa; Echinodermata; Asteroidea; Valvatida; Asterinidae
Description: uncharacterized LOC119741730
Source: RNAcentral
GUGUAUUUUCCCCCUUUUCGCGAAAUGGUAUAGUCUCAAAAGUUUCUUCCAAUAGCACUAACUGCAUUUAUCACAGAACCGGUCUUUGUUACUCUGUGCGCGUUAUGUAACCGUUUUUUUGCAGCAAGCUUUUUCGGUAGUUGUGGGUUUUCUCUCCAGCAGCAUUACAAAAGCCAUGGUUGUGUGUAAAUUAGGUGUUUGCAACACCUUUGGUGAAUAAUAGAAUUCAGGUGUUUAAACAAAAGUUACUAGGGAGUUGCUUUGCCAACAGUGAAGGAACAGUGGAGUGAUUGGGUGUGUGUGGGUUUCUGACGGAAAAGUGAGAGUGAUCAUGAAGGAAUCAGAUCAGAGCAGACCAGAUCGUGGUAGAAAGCAGAUGUGAUUUUGAAGAAUUGUCUUGUGUGUGUCACUGCAUGAACCUGAGCCAACAGGCAUAGCAAAGCUAUAGCAGGCAGUUUAUGUUGAAUAGUUGAGAGCCUAUUUGAGGCAGUAAUAUUUGGGCUUGAAUUUCAAGGCCCCAGUGAGCAGUUUUGUGCUCAGUUAAACACACCAAGGAGAUCUGGGAUUUCAAGAAACCACACAACCAUGGCUGUCUGGUGAAGGACAAGGGACGAGCUGUAGCCAUUAGCUGGGCAUCGAACUGGUGCGGCUGUAGGACACCCAACCCAGGAGGCGGUGUAUCCAACGAUCAACCGGCAUCAGACGAUUCAAGACAGUACCGUGGGCUGAUAUCCUUAAAACGCCUGCUCCUCCCAUUUAAAGACCCUUGUAUAGAGUAAAAUAAUUUAAAGUAACUGCAGAGUGGAAGUUUGUUUAAAGAUUAAUUGCUAUUCAUUUAAAAGGAAACACGAAGGACAUAAUAUGAUCUAGAAUGUGAAUUAAUGUAACAAGUGAAGAAAUACCGGCCUACCACAGUUGUAAAUAAGUGUAAAUUGUUUGUAAAUAGAACAGAUAUACUGAAGGAAAAG